This 263-nucleotide ribosomal RNA is filed under the name uncultured bacterium. Its description in RNAcentral is "partial 16S ribosomal RNA". It matches the Rfam family "Bacterial small subunit ribosomal RNA", at positions 92 to 353 of the family's 1533-position model. The record is from RNAcentral.
UGAGUGGCGGACGGGUGAGUAACGCGUGGGUAACCUGCCCCAUACAGGGGGAUAACAGUUAGAAAUGACUGCUAAUACCGCAUAAGACCACAGCACCGCAUGGUGCAGGGGUAAAAACUCCGGUGGUAUGGGAUGGACCCGCGUCUGAUUAGCUAGUUGGCGGGGUAACGGCCUACCAAGGCGACGAUCAGUAGCCGACCUGAGAGGGCGACCGGCCACAUUGGGACUGAGACACGGCCCAAACUCCUACGGGAGGCAGCAUG